Molecule: ribosomal RNA, 254 nt
Filed under: uncultured bacterium
Lineage: Bacteria
Description: partial 16S ribosomal RNA
Rfam family: Bacterial small subunit ribosomal RNA
Source: RNAcentral
CACGUAGGGUGCGAGCGUUGUCCGGAAUUAUUGGGCGUAAAGAGCUCGUAGGCGGUGUGUCGCGUCGGCCGUGAAAACCUGCAGCUUAACUGUGGGCUUGCGGUCGAUACGGGCAUCACUGGAGUUCGGUAGGGGAGACUGGAAUUCCUGGUGUAGCGGUGAAAUGCGCAGAUAUCAGGAGGAACACCGGUGGCGAAGGCGGGUCUCUGGGCCGAUACUGACGCUGAGGAGCGAAAGCGUGGGGAGCAAACAGG